UACAUAGGUCUCAAGCGUUGUUCGGAUUCAUUGGGCGUAAAGGGUGCGUAGGCGGCGCGUUAAGUCGGGUGUGAAAUCUCGGAGCUUAACUCCGAAACUGCAUUCGAUACUGCCGUGCUUGAGGACUGGAGAGGAGACUGGAAUUUACGGUGUAGCGGUGAAAUGCGUAGAUAUCGUAAGGAAGACCAGUGGCGAAGGCGGGUCUGUGGACAGUACCUGACGCUGAGGCACGAAGGCCAGGGGAGCAAACGGG
This 253-nucleotide ribosomal RNA is filed under the name uncultured bacterium. RNAcentral describes it as "partial 16S ribosomal RNA". It matches the Rfam family "Bacterial small subunit ribosomal RNA", at positions 524 to 776 of the family's 1533-position model. The record is from RNAcentral.